RNAcentral lists this transfer RNA (107 nucleotides) under Candidatus Aenigmatarchaeota archaeon. Its description in RNAcentral is "tRNA-Arg". It matches the Rfam family "tRNA". Rfam says of the family: Transfer RNA (tRNA) molecules are approximately 80 nucleotides in length. Their secondary structure includes four short double-helical elements and three loops (D, anti-codon, and T loops). The record is from RNAcentral. Lineage: Archaea; Nanobdellati; Candidatus Aenigmatarchaeota.
GCCCCCGUAGCCUAGUUUGGAUAAGGCGUCGGCCUUCUAAGCCGAAGAUCGAGGGUUCAAUACGCUAAAGCAAAUGCAAAGAGAUUUUGGGAAUCCCCCCGGGGGCA